UACGUAGGUGGCGAGCGUUGUCCGGAUUUACUGGGUGUAAAGGGCGUGUAGCCGGGCUGACAAGUCAGAUGUGAAAUCCGGGGGCUCAACCCCCGAACUGCAUUUGAAACUGUUGGUCUUGAGUAUCGGAGAGGCAGGCGGAAUUCCUAGUGUAGCGGUGAAAUGCGUAGAUAUUAGGAGGAACACCAGUGGCGAAGGCGGCCUGCUGGAUGACAACUGACGGUGAGGCGCGAAAGCGUGGGGAGCAAACAGG
RNAcentral lists this ribosomal RNA (253 nucleotides) under uncultured bacterium. RNAcentral's name for it is "partial 16S ribosomal RNA". It matches the Rfam family "Bacterial small subunit ribosomal RNA", at positions 524 to 776 of the family's 1533-position model. The record is from RNAcentral.